Molecule: ribosomal RNA, 740 nt
Filed under: uncultured archaeon
Lineage: Archaea
Description: bacterial SSU rRNA
Rfam family: Archaeal small subunit ribosomal RNA
Source: RNAcentral
CUGACUGCUAUCGGAUUGAUACUAAGCCAUGCGAGUCAUUGUAGCAAUACAAGGCAGACGGCUCAGUAACGCGUAGUCAACCUAACCUAUGGACGGGAAUAACCUCGGGAAACUGAGAAUAAUGCCCGAUAGAACACUAUGCCUGGAAUGGUUUGUGUUCCAAAUGAUUUAUCGCCGUAGGAUGGGACUGCGGCCUAUCAGUUUGUUGGUGAGGUAAUGGCCCACCAAGACUAUUACAGGUACGGGCUCUGAGAGGAGUAGCCCGGAGAUGGGUACUGAGACACGGACCCAGGCCCUAUGGGGCGCAGCAGGCGAGAAAACUUUGCAAUGUGCGAAAGCACGACAAGGUUAAUCCGAGUGGUUUGUGCUAAACAGACCUUUUGUUAGUCCUAGAAACACUAACGAAUAAGGGGUGGGCAAGUUCUGGUGUCAGCCGCCGCGGUAAAACCAGCACCUCAAGUGGUCAGGAUGAUUAUUGGGCCUAAAGCAUCCGUAGCCGGCUCUGUAAGUUUUCGGUUAAAUCUGUAUGCUCAACAUACAGGCUGCCGGGAAUACUGCAGAGCUAGGGAGUGGGAGAGGUAGGCGGUACUCGGUAGGAAGGGGUAAAAUCCUUUGAUCUAUUGAUGACCACCUGUGGCGAAGGCGGUCUACCAGAACACGUCCGACGGUGAGGGAUGAAAGCUGGGGGAGCAAACCGGAUUAGAUACCGGGGUAGUCCCAGCUGUAAACUAUGCAAACUC